CGGGAGUGCUGUCCUGGGCAGAGGCCAUCCAAGGAUCUGCUGUGCUCUGAGUUGCUUCAGCUCUCAAGAGGGUUUUUAAGUCCUGGGCUCCUUGGGGUGGGGGUUUUCAUUCGGGGCCCUCUGUUCCUGGUGCUCCUUGUACCAGUCCAAACAGGUUUGCUAUGGCCUCCCUGGUUUCCCGGCUCCGGAGACUGUUUUCCUUUCUGUUGGCCUUUGCUGUUGCCAUUUCGUUCACUCUCACUGUUCUCACUGUUAUCUCUGCAGCUCUGUGUCUCAACUUAGUUCUCUUCUCACAGCUGGUUGGGGUGGUUGGACUUCCCUCUUUCUGUGUUGGCAGGUAGCAGCUGGCCUUGGGCUAGAGUUAGCUUCUUAUCUUCAGACUGAACUUGAUAGAUGCAGUGUUGAAUUAACCCAUUCUCUGCUUUCUUCUUUCGCUCCCCUCCUCGGCCUCUCGUACCAGCAAAGGAAACUUCCACUCCCCACUCACACACCUUUGACCCUCCCCAAAAUGCUUUGUGAUGCUAGCAACAGCGUUAGCAAUACACAAUGCUGAUCUGCCUUCCCAAGGGAGAGGGCCUUGGGAUGUGACAGGCUGACAGGAGGCUCAGCCUUUACCACUCUUGCUCCUUUGAUCCUAGCCAUGAAGAUCCCCUAUUCUAAUCCUAACUUCCCUGAUAUAAAGCUCUACCAUUAUGCCAUAAUCCUGACUGUAAAUGUCUAUGCUAUUCCAGUCCUGAGCCCCCCAUCCCUGCUACAGCUCUACCAAUUCAUCUCAGUCCUAACUUAUGCAUCCCCUAUUAUUCCUCUCAUAUGUCCUUUAGCAAAGAAAAAAACAAAGCAGACAAUAUUUUUUCUUUUAUGUUUCAAACUACGGAGUCCACUCCAACCUACGCAGAUGUGAUCCAACAGAGUUUUAAUCAUAUUCGCUGUCUGGACAAUGCAUUCAAAAGAGUGCACCAGAGACACUGUAGAGAAAUGAAGGAUUUUGACCAGCACCAGUGGAAGGAGAAGCAAGAAUUCCUCAGAAAAGAGAAGCAAUUGCUGUCAGAGAAAGGAGAGAUGAGGAAGCUGAACCAAUUGCUGACCCCUCACCUGGAUGUACUCUUCAGUUCUGACAAGACUUCAAGUCUGCAGAAGUGUCUUCAUCCAGAAACAACCAUAAGUCAAACAGCACCCUGAGCAACCAAGAAUUCAUGAUUCCCCCAACAUACAUUGACAUAAAUGUCCAUUCAGACCUUCAUAUGCAUCUUAACCGUAUAUUUUGGGCAGCCCACCCUAAAGCUUUCUCCACCAGUUAGGAACAGAGAAACCUGAAAAAAUGUGAAGAGUCAGUUCACAGAAGUACUCUGAGUUUAAAAGUUUGAUUUCUAACCUCACUGAUCUGUAAAACUGGGCUGGAAAAAUUUUAUAGCAUUGCAAGAAUGGAAGUAAUAUGAAAAUGAAAAGUCACCUGAAUAUAAUAGUUUCAUAGUUUGGUUCUUUGCCAAAGAUUUGAGUUGUUCCUUGUUUUAUCUAAAGUGGCUUGGUCCCAGGCUGAAAGGCAUUGUAGUUCAGACUCAGUGCAUCCCCUUGCCAACACUAUACAGUAGUGGAGCUGUGCUGGCCAGCUGCAGACCCUCCCAGACAGGAGGCUCUCUGUGCUGGUGAAACCUGCAAUGAAUCCAGCCCUGUGUCUCGGUUUUCCAUUGUAUAAAAUAGGAAUAUUUUAUCCAGGGCCACCUGGGGCGGGGGGGGCAAGUGGGGCAAUUUGCCCUGGGCUCCGCAGGGGCCCCCACAAGAAUGCCAGAGGCUUCCUCCCUGGCCUGACCCUGCCUCUAUCCCUAUCCCGGAGCCUCAGUGCAUCCAGGAGCGUCGCUGGACAGCGCUGCAGCGUGGCUCCAAG
This is a long non-coding RNA of Gopherus evgoodei (Goodes thornscrub tortoise), 1882 nucleotides long. NCBI's taxonomy places the organism in Eukaryota, Metazoa, Chordata, Testudines, Testudinidae. The record is from Ensembl.